AUGCUGCUGCUGGCAGCACUUGUGGCCACCACCACUUGGUCUGAUGGAUUUGCACAGGAAAUUCCCAUACAGAGCCCUAUAUCCAUCACCAAGUUCAAGAAAACUGCACGGAUGUAUUGUGAAAUCAAAAACUUACCAACAAGUUUUGACAGUACUGUCAUACACUGGUAUAAACGGAAGGAGAAUGAAGCUCCAGAGAGGCUACUGUUCUUUACAGAAGGGAAAACUUCAGUGGAAAGUGGCUUUCAAAAAGACAGGUACAGAGCUGAAAGGGUUUCUGACCAGAAUCGGUGUGUUCUUAUGAUAAAGGAUGUCAUUCCAGACGAUGCUGGCAUGUACUACUGCGCCUACUGGGACCCUCACAAUGGUAGAAACUCAGGGACCAUCAAGGCACAAAACUCCCCCAACGUCUGA
Cygnus atratus (black swan) is the source of this 414-nucleotide non-coding RNA. Lineage: Eukaryota; Metazoa; Chordata; Aves; Anseriformes; Anatidae. The record is from the annotation of a RefSeq genome assembly.